ACAGACCCCACUGAGAACCAUGGGGCGAGUGUGAAGCUGAAUACAUGCAGCUCCUCUGCACAGACAGCAGGGGGCGACAUGACGCCAUACAUAACAACUCAAUAACCAUGGGACACUCUGGAGUUUUGUUUUGUUGUUUUGUGACCAGUUCCUUCUGCUAAAUCAGUCUUUGAUACUUUUUAUUGUGUGCCAAACCAUUAUAUUCCCUUUUUGUACAUUGUUAAGUGUGAAUAUGGUUUGCACCUGACAGCUGUGGGUGUGUGUGUGUGUGUGUGUGUGUGUGUGUGUGUGCGGAUGUGGCGACUACGAGAAGGAGCUGUGAGCCUCAGAGUAAAGACAGAUGGCACAGUUCCAAGAAAACCUUGAGAUGAACACGAGAAACAGGGGAAGUGGUGCUGAAGUCGGUUAUCUCCUCUGUUUAUUCCACUGAAGCACACUGGAAGGGUCGCGGGGAACCUGGAGCCUAACCCAGGGGACUUGGGGCACAAGGCGGGGUACACCCUGGACAGGGUGCCAACCCAUUGCAGGGCACAAUCUCACACACACUCACUACAGACAAUUUAGAGAUACCAGUCAGCCUACAAUGCCAGUCAGUCUUUGGACAGGGGGAGGAGACUGGAGUACCCGGAGGAAACCCCCAAAGCAUGGGGAGAACAUGCAAACACAGGGCGGAGGCAGGUUUCUAACCCCCAAUCCUGGCAGUACGACGCAAACUGUGCUAACCACUAAGCCACCGUGCCUCCCAGGAUAACAACCAGGUUUCACUAUUAGCCCCUAAAUACGAAACAACUUCUUUUCUCAUUCACAACUUUCAGGUUUCAUUAUCAUAUUAAUGAGAAAUCCAGUGUAGAAGCAGUGGAGACAGAGCACACAUUAGACUCAAAGCUGCAGAAUGCAAUGCAGCAAUACAAUGCAGUUGUGCUGAGUCUCAGCUCUACUAGUUAGCAUUCUGCAAGAUGAUGAGCAUGAUGGUGUGGACAGCAGAACUAGUGUGAAUCCUGAAGAUUUAGAACUUUAUCUGUUUGAGGAGAUGAGAGAGCUGAACAGAAUAAAGGACUAAAACACUGAUGCAUCGCUCUCUCUUGGUAGAAAUGAAGCACCAAUGUUGCAUUUGACUCAAGAUCCUAACUCAUUAUUUCUGACCUAAGAAAAAAAAAUUAAGAAAAUGUCCCCUCAACUCAGAAUCCCUACUUGGGAACUCAGGAUGGUCUCCUCAAGCCAGAGUUCAGCAAGUGAUGUUAAAUCACCCAGCAUCAGCAGUAAACAAAAGUAGCACUUCUAACCUUUAAAUGAGCUAUACUGUAUAUACAAGUAUCUGGUUUAGCUCAAUUAACAUAGAGACAUAUUCGCUUGUUAAAUCUAUAACACUAUACAGUUUGUUGUUUUUUCGGCAGGAAAAUAUACAUCACACAUCAUUGUUAGCUGGCUAGCUUGUUGCUAACAGAAGACGAACAGGGAGGCGUCCAUGGUUUUUCCCACUUUGUAGCUCGAACAUACCAAGGUUGAAAAUGACAUAUCUCUGAACUUGCACCUCCCACUUCCAAGGGUUGCAGUGGAUCCGGAGCUUAUCCUGGGAACACUGGGUGCAAGGUGGAAGAAUUUACCCCAGAUUGGACACCAGUCCAUUGCAUUGCACCAUGCACACAUACACACAUUCACACACCGAUGGGGAGAACAUCUGAAACUCCACACAAACAGUAACCCAAGCUCAGGAUCAAACAAGGAACCCUGAAGCUGUAAGGCAGCAAUGCUACUCGCUGCACCACCAUGCCACCUCAUUUUUUGCUAAUUCUUGUUACACUAUAUAUUACAUUAAAACAGCAACAUUUAUAUGCUCUUGUAGAUUUAGACUGUAUGAUCCUCUAUGCAGUAUGCAAUAUUGUUACUAUCACUUGCAGUAAAUAAAUUUGACUUUUUCAUGGUAAUGAAGAACAGUGAGAUAUGCGAAAAGCAAGCUGUCGAUAUCAAGAUCCAAACAAUGUUAACAAUGCAAAGAGCGCUCCACAGAAAAAAAAAUAAAUAAAUUUUUAAAUCUUUACACCAGUCAGACCCAAGGAAUGAAGGCCAUUGAAUUUGUACAGACCACUGUCCAGAAUUACUGGCACUCUUAAUAAAGAUGGGUAAAAAAGAUCAUAAAAUAUCUCUGUGGUUAAAAAAUUAAUGCCGCACUGAAAAUAUGAGACAAAUAUGACCAGAUGUAGUGAUAAUAUAUAAGGAGCAAAAAUCAGCAGUGGUGGCAGACAAUCUGAUGCGGUGGUAAAUUCAAAGCGAAGGGAUAGAAGAAGCUGGAGAAAUAUCAGGACUGAAAGAAUAACUUAGAAAUGUCUUUACCUUCCGACUUUUCUCUAUUAAGCGUAUUCAAGGUCAUGACCCUAAUUCUGAAAGAAGAGCUUAAACAGAUUCCUGAAAUAACACUGAUGACAGUCUAGAAGAGAACAACCUCAGGAAUGUGGAAGCAGCCACUCCCAGGUAGGAGAAAAAAGGGUGAAACAGGUUUUCUAUAUGACAGUCCUCUUUCUUUCAGAAUGCAAUGCAGCGAUACACCGCAGUUGCACCGAGUCUCAGCUCUACUAGUUAGCAUUCUGCAAGAUGAUGAGCAUGAUGGUGUGGACAGCAGAACUAGUGUGAAUCCUGAAGAUUUAGAACUUUAUCUGUUUGAGGAGAUGAGAGAGCUGAACAGAAUAAAGGACUAAAACACUGAUGCAUCGCUCUCUCUUGGUAGAAAUGAAGCAAGAGCCAAUGUUGCAUUUGACUCAAGAUCCUAACUUGUAAUUUCUGACUUAAGAAAAAACUAAGAAAACGUCCCCUCAACUCAGAAUCCCUACUUGGGAACUCAGGAUGGUCUCCUCAAGCCAGAGUUCAGCAAGUGAUGUUAAAUCACCCAACAUCAGCAGUAAACAAAAGUAGCACUUCUGACCUUUAAAUGAGUUAUACUGUAUAUAUAAGUAUUUAAGAUCAAUCAGCAUACAGACAUAUUCGUUUUUUAAUCUACCACACUGAAUAUACAGCUUGUUGUUUUGAGGAUCAAAAUAUACAUCACUCAUCUCAGUUAAUUGGGUAGCUUGUUGCUAACAGAAGAUGAACAUGGAGGUGUCCAUUGCUUUUCCCCCACUUUGUAGCUCAAAUGCACAGAGGUUGAAAUAACUCCGACCUGCCCCCUCCGAGGUAAAUCAAAUGCAGCAUAAAUCCCACUUGCGCCACUAUAAGCAGCCAGCCAAACCGUUAACCAAAGAGAAAACAGAUAAAAAAAUAUCAAAGAAAGGCAUUUAAACUAAAAAUGUCAACUCAGUAGUUCAUCACAAAAUAAAUCUUAGAC
Long non-coding RNA from Pangasianodon hypophthalmus (striped catfish), 3316 nucleotides. RefSeq lists it as uncharacterized. The transcript is spliced from 3 exons. NCBI's taxonomy places the organism in Eukaryota, Metazoa, Chordata, Actinopteri, Siluriformes, Pangasiidae. The record is from RefSeq and is a predicted model, not a curated record.